GUAGAGCGUUAACGAUUGAAGCGGCAUCCUUUUUUUCUUUUUUAAGAAAAAAAGAUAUAGCGGAAAGCGUGUUAAAAC
Molecule: small RNA, 78 nt
Filed under: Pedobacter psychrophilus
Lineage: Bacteria; Pseudomonadati; Bacteroidota; Sphingobacteriia; Sphingobacteriales; Sphingobacteriaceae
Description: Pedobacter sp. CCM 8644 Flavo-1 RNA
Rfam family: Flavo-1 RNA
Source: Rfam by way of RNAcentral